GUGAGUGCGGGAGGCCGCCGCUGGCCUGGGAAGAGGGGAGCGGGUUAGGAGCGCGGGGUCGGAGCGGAACCCCUGCACCCCCCCUCCUCCCAGGACUAGGGAUCUGCCGCUAGAGGCGGGGGCCCAAAGCCCCCCGCUGGGCCCGGGCGAGGAUGGGCGGGCAGGAGGCGGAGCGCAGCGCGGCGCUGCGCUGGGCGGCGGGAAAGGGGCGGGGAGGACAGCUCAGGCUUAAGCGGGCAGAGGGACGGUGGCAGAACCUGCGGGCUAGGUGGGAGGCUCACCCACAGGGAGGAAGGGAAGCGAGGACCGCCGCUGCUGAGGAGCGAGGAGACGCUUGGAGUCCAGGGGUCAGGCCGCUGCCACCUCCUCCUGCAGCGGAGACAGCACAGCCAGCGGGCGCACUGGCCGCAACGGCAACCCUCCGCGCAGGUGGGCACCCCCGAGCGCGGCGCUCUGCCCCUUCUCGGACCGCCGCGGGCCGGAUGCCCUCCUUUCCAGGCCACUGAGUUCGGGGGCGAGGGCUGGGCAGGUCUGGGGGUAGGAGGAAUGUGCACGGCUCCUUGGUGUGCACGCUUGUGCGCGCGCGCUGUGCUAGGUGGGGAAGAGGUGCGGGAAAGCAGCCUCCCUCAGGAUUUACUCCCUCGGGUCUCGCUGUCCCCACCCCCACUCUCUUCUGACCAGCAGAGCUCUCGAGCGGCUUUAGAGAACUGCGACCCCCUCCCUCGUCCGCAAUCUCGGUGGUGUGUGCACUUCGCCCCCCUCUUCACAAUCCACACCCAGCAACCAUCAGGACGCCCCCUGCUCUGUAGGAACCUUGGGAGAAGAGAGAGUGGUGGCAAGACCAGCCAGGGUGUGUUCGGGGAAGGCAGGAGUUGCUGGAGUAUUGUCUGCCGGGGACGGUGCCUGAGCCCGCGCGCUCCCUCGCGCUUUCAGGGCCAGAGUUGGGGGCGGGGGGCGGGCGCGGGGGGUUUGCUGAACUUAUCUCCGAAGGCUGACUGUGCACAUGCACUUGGCGACUUGUGCACGUUUGGACGAGGACUUAAUGGAGGCACGUGGGAGCAGGAUCGGUCGCUGGCGGGCCCCCAAAGAGCCUCUUGGCUCUUGGGAUGGCCCAGCGCGUGUUCUGGGGUGGGAAGGAAGGGAGAGUGUGCGUGUGUGUGAAUGUCCGUCCUAGGGAGGAGAAGGAGGAGAGUGGCUCGAGGAGACUUGAUUUUCUUGGAUUUGCUGCCAGUCCGUAAACCAAACCAGGCUUUCGAGGCGCUAAAGUAAAUUACCGGUGGCAGUGUAGAAGCCAAAACGGGAGCUUCCAGAAGUGGUUUCUGAAAAAUAAGAGUGAAUAUACAUGAGUAAGCAAGCACAAGAAUCUGAAAAACCACAGGAAUGAAAAGCAGAUAACUCUUUAGAAAACUUUCGUAGGAAAAGCACCUCGUGUGAUCUGGAACAAAGACAUUUUAUAAUCAGAUUUAUCAAGCUGUGAAGAGGGAGUUUUAGCGAACGGAAGCAGCAGCCUUCUGUCACCAAGAAAUACUGCUUUAUCCAGAAUUGGUAAGUGAAAAAAGUGGCAUUGCUCCCUAAUAGAUAUCAUAUGGUGUGUGUGGGAAUUGUAAAAUGGUUCACAGACCCCUAACAACUGUGUUGAACCAGAGAACACAGAAACAGAGUGAGGAAUUCUAAAAAGAAGCAGCCCAAGAAUAUAGCAUAAAGGCUGAGAAGAAGCCAGGUAAUUUAGAAAGAUGAGCUGAGUGUUACCACUUUAGCCGAAUAUAUAUAAUACAACUAGUUUGGCUUUUUUCCCCUUUUCCUUUUUAGCGGGAGGAAACAAAAUCAAAAUGGGCUUUUUGGUAGAGUUGCAGCAUUAACUUUCCAUGGAUAUAGAUUUCCAUUUAGUCGGAAUAGUAUCUAUGAUAUUUGAAGGGAUGCUUUCAGAAUUAGUCAACUUGCCCUCCUUUUCCUCCCUCUACCCAAGGAUGUCAAGUAUUUAGUUAGAACUCUACAAAACGAAAGUUUAAGUAAUGCAUUGGAAACAUUUCCUACUGAUUGUGAAGGACAGAUUAAGAUGGUAAUAGAUUUUUUACAUUUAUGUCAUGAAUUUUAAGAUUGUUCUAUUUGAUUACAUUAGUAUAGCAAAGGGGUGGUUAUUUCGAUAUAAUUAAUCCAUUACGUUUUGAGAGAUUGUGAUUAGCAGUUCUUAUGGGUAUGCGUGUAUGUGUCUGUCUUUCUCUGAAAUCUUAAAUUCCGUUUUCUAAUCUUGACUCUGAGCUACCCCUAUGUGCGAAAUUUCCAGAAAAAAAUAGUAAAUCUUUGAAUACCUGUUUUAUAUACAGUAGAUUCUUGUUCAUGAACUGUAAGGAAACAAUUUUAUAUUAGACGUGAAUGUCUGAUUUCUUGGUUUGGCUUCUUAAGAAUGAUUGUGCAGGAAAAGUUGAAUAGGAUAAGAAAAGAAAACUAGAAUGGUGGGUGGCUACCUGAUUUUACCAAUUUCUUAUUGGUCAAUAGAAGCAAUCAUGUGAUGUCUACUUAUAUAAAGUCAGAUGGAAAAAAUAUUCUUUAAAUGCUG
This 2557-nucleotide long non-coding RNA is filed under the name Equus caballus (horse). RNAcentral's name for it is "lncRNA (ENSECAG00000056303.1)". The record is from RNAcentral. Lineage: Eukaryota; Metazoa; Chordata; Mammalia; Perissodactyla; Equidae.